Molecule: ribosomal RNA, 425 nt
Filed under: Leptodactylus mystaceus group sp. ABGD cluster 49
Lineage: Eukaryota; Metazoa; Chordata; Amphibia; Anura; Leptodactylidae
Description: partial large subunit ribosomal RNA
Rfam family: Bacterial large subunit ribosomal RNA
Source: RNAcentral
CUUGACAAACUUAUAAGAGGUCCAGCCUGCCCAGUGACUCUGUUCAACGGCCGCGGUAUCCUAACCGUGCGAAGGUAGCGUAAUCACUUGUUCUUUAAAUGAGGACUAGUAUGAAUGGCACCACGAAGGUUAUACUGUCUCCUUUUUCUAAUCAGUGAAACUAAUCUUCCCGUGAAGAAACGGGAAUAAAAAUAUAAGACGAGAAGACCCUAUGGAGCUUUAAACAAAUAUACACCUGCCUCUUUACCAAAAAUUUCAGAAGACAAGUAAUUACCCGGGCAUUUUGAUAUAGCGUUUUAGGUUGGGGUGACCGCGGAGCAAAAGAUAACCUCCGCAGCGAACGGGAGUAUUCCCUAAACCAAGGGCCACAACCCCAAGUAUUGAUAAAUCAACACCAAUUGACCCAAUAAAUUUGAUCAAUGAAC